Non-coding RNA from Paramormyrops kingsleyae, 1370 nucleotides. Lineage: Eukaryota; Metazoa; Chordata; Actinopteri; Osteoglossiformes; Mormyridae. The record is from RefSeq and is a predicted model, not a curated record.
UUAGCCUUGGGAAGGAUGAGCAUGAUAUAGCUUCGGCUCCUCAGCAGCGGCUGAUGCUCGUCAAUAAAUCAGUCAGAUUUUUAAUUAUCGGACACAUGACAGGAAGCCGUGACAGGCCCACGUCCGCGGGAGAGUCUUCUGUCAAAGCGGCUUUGAAACAGAACAGCGCUCAUAGACGAGAGCCACAUGGGUCGUUAAUAAGAACAGCCCGGAUAGAGAAAGAGAGAGAGAGAAAAAGAAUGUGGAUCACACUGCACCCGCAGGUUCAAGAUGGGCAUUUAGCUUCUGAAGGUUCACAGAGUCCGGCCAGUGGAGUCGACCGAGGGUAGGACCAGGGGAUCAACGCCAGCCCAAGAUUCAGCAGGAUCUCUCCAGAGGUCUGCGAGCAGUAAGAGACUACGGAGCCCGUCACCAAGGAGCUGGCCCUCCUAGUUUUCAGCGUUCGUCCUCCGACACCCUUCCCCCGGUCGGGGCCCAUGAAUCAUCCCGUCAUUGCAUCGAGGACCCUGACGCUUCUCCUCUAACGCAGGGCAGCCAGCCUCAGCAAUCUUUCUUCAUUCUCGCUAACAAUUUGGUAAUGAAAUAUUGAUUUUUAGUUAGAUUCAAAUAACUUUAUUAAGUUUGCAUUGAUAAAUCGUCCCCUCAGCUGGCCUGGAAGUGCCUCAGUCAAAAAGGGCCUAACCACACCGUUACAGCUGCUGAUGUUUUCAUCGGAUGCUUUUGGUCGCUCCUUCUCUGAUUCACAUGAAGAUCCUAGUGUCUGUCAUAAUUGCUGUGGGAUCAGGGCCAAUGUGUCAUUGCUGUUGAUAUAUUUCAGAAGAGGAAAUAAAAGUAGGAAGGCAUACGCACAGUCAGAGGCGACAUUUCGUAUCUCCACACACCACUCAUUAAAAGAAAGCCCUGGAGCUUGAUAUAUGGAGGGGAGACUUGUAUUUCCUUUCUAAAAUUUUGUUUCCCCACAUUUUUGACAGUGAUUAGUGAUUAAUAGCUCCUGUUCAUAUUUGAGAUAUUACACAUCUCUUUCCAGGUGACACAUUUUAAAGUAAAUUGUUGGACUACUCAAGAUAUUGUUCAAUGGUUCGGUAUAAGCAUUAAGGAUGCUUUGUACUGUAUUAUAUAUCUAUAGUGCAUUAGAGAUGAGAGCUUCAUAAGGCAGUCAUAAUGUAUAAUAAACAUGCCUAUAAUAUGCUUUUUUAUAAGUAUUUAUAUCCAUGUUUAUAAUUCUUUAUGAAUACAUUAUGAAUGUGUUUAGAAAUUGCUAAAAAGGCCUUUACCUUUGUCAUAUGAUAGUUUUCUGUUCCUAUCUUUUAUAUUAAAUGGGUCGGUGCCGACCCGUGUCUUAAAUCAGCCAUAAAAUACCCUCAAAACAA